RNAcentral lists this ribosomal RNA (253 nucleotides) under uncultured bacterium. RNAcentral's name for it is "partial 16S ribosomal RNA". It matches the Rfam family "Bacterial small subunit ribosomal RNA", at positions 524 to 776 of the family's 1533-position model. The record is from RNAcentral.
GACGGAGGGGGCGAGCGUUGUCCGGAAUCACUGGGCGUAAAGGGCGCGUAGGCGGCCCGGCAAGUCAGUGGUGAAAGCCCGAGGCUCAACUUCGGGUCGGCCGCUGAUACGGCGGGGCUCGAGUCGACUAGAGGCAGAUGGAAUUCCGGGUGUAGCGGUGGAAUGCGUAGAGAUCCGGAAGAACACCGGUGGCGAAGGCGGUCUGCUGGGGUUGAACUGACGCUGAGGCGCGAAAGCGUGGGGAGCAAACAGG